Non-coding RNA from Neofelis nebulosa (Clouded leopard), 85 nucleotides. The record is from the annotation of a RefSeq genome assembly. NCBI's taxonomy places the organism in Eukaryota, Metazoa, Chordata, Mammalia, Carnivora, Felidae.
GCCUGGGUGGCUCAGUCGGUUGAGCAUCCGACUUCGGCUCGGGUCAUGAUCUCGUGGUCCGUGGGUUUGAGCCCCACUUCGGGCU